This 500-nucleotide ribosomal RNA is filed under the name uncultured bacterium. RNAcentral describes it as "partial 16S ribosomal RNA". It matches the Rfam family "Bacterial small subunit ribosomal RNA", at positions 30 to 523 of the family's 1533-position model. The record is from RNAcentral.
AUUGAACGCUGGCGGCAGGCCUAACACAUGCAAGUCGAGCGGCAGCGGGACCUUCGGGUUGCCGGCGAGCGGCGGACGGGUGAGUAAUGCCUAGGAAUCUGCCUGUUAGUGGGGGAUAACGCGGGGAAACUCGCGCUAAUACCGCAUACGUCCUACGGGAGAAAGCGGGGGCUCUUCGGACCUCGCGCUAACAGAUGAGCCUAGGUCGGAUUAGCUAGUUGGUGGGGUAAUGGCCCACCAAGGCGACGAUCCGUAACUGGUCUGAGAGGAUGAUCAGUCACACUGGAACUGAGACACGGUCCAGACUCCUACGGGAGGCAGCAGUGGGGAAUAUUGGACAAUGGGCGAAAGCCUGAUCCAGCCAUGCCGCGUGUGUGAAGAAGGUCUUCGGAUUGUAAAGCACUUUAAGUCGGGAGGAAGGGCUGUAGGCUAAUACCUUGCAGUUUUGACGUUACCGACAGAAUAAGCACCGGCUAACUUCGUGCCAGCAGCCGCGGUAA